This 507-nucleotide ribosomal RNA is filed under the name fungal sp. E15824G. RNAcentral describes it as "eukaryotic LSU rRNA". The stretch from base 152 to 305 matches the Rfam family "5.8S ribosomal RNA". Lineage: Eukaryota; Fungi. The record is from RNAcentral.
ACCGAGUCUAAACAACUCAUCAACCCUGUGAACUUACCUAAAACGUUGCUUCGGCGGGAACAGACGGCCCCGUAAAACGGGCCGCCCCCGCCAGAGGACCCUUAACUCUGUUGCUAUAGUAUCUUCUGAGUAAAACAAGCAAAUAAAUUAAAACUUUCAACAACGGAUCUCUUGGCUCUGGCAUCGAUGAAGAACGCAGCGAAAUGCGAUAAGUAAUGUGAAUUGCAGAAUUCAGUGAAUCAUCGAAUCUUUGAACGCACAUUGCGCCCGCCAGUAUUCUGGCGGGCAUGCCUGUUCGAGCGUCAUUACAACCCUCAGGCCCCCGGGCCUGGCGUUGGGGAUCGGCGAGGCGCCCCCUGUGGGCACGCGCCGUCCCCCAAAUACAGUGGCGGUCCCGCCGCAGCUUCCAUUGCGUAGUAGCUAACACCUCGCAACUGGAGAGCGGCGCGGCCAUGCCGUAAAACACCCAACUUCUGAAUGUUGACCUCGAAUCAGGUAGGAAUACCC